Molecule: long non-coding RNA, 465 nt
Filed under: Salmo salar (Atlantic salmon)
Lineage: Eukaryota; Metazoa; Chordata; Actinopteri; Salmoniformes; Salmonidae
Description: lncRNA (ENSSSAG00000107134.1)
Source: RNAcentral
CAACCAUGAAAAGGUAGACUCUCUCUCUCAGUUAUACACAUCAACAACCAUGAAAAGGUAGACUCUCUCUCUCCCUCAGUUAUACACAUCAACAACCAUGAAAAGGUAGACUCUCUCUCUCAGUUAUACACAUCAAUAACCAUGAAAAGGUAGACUCUCUCUCUCAGUUAUACACAUCAACAACCAUGAAAAGGUAGACUCUCUCUCUCCCUCAGUUAUACACAUCAAUAACCAUGAAAAGGUAGACUCUCUCUCUCCCUCAGUUAUACACAUCAACAACCAUGAAAAGGUAGACUCUCUCUCUCCCUCAGUUAUACACAUCAACAACCAUGAAAAGGUAGACUCUCUCUCUCAGUUAUACACAUCAACAACCAUGAAAAGGUAGACUCUCUCUCUCCUUCAGUUAUACACAUCAACAACCAUGAAAAGGUAGACUCUCUCUCUCCUUCAGUUAUACACAUCAAC